AGUGAACGCUGGCGGUAGGCCUAACACAUGCAAGUCGAACGGCAGCACAGUAAGAGCUUGCUCUUACGGGUGGCGAGUGGCGGACGGGUGAGGAAUACAUCGGAAUCUACUUUUUCGUGGGGGAUAACGUAGGGAAACUUACGCUAAUACCGCAUACGACCUACGGGUGAAAGCAGGGGAUCUUCGGACCUUGCGCGAUUGAAUGAGCCGAUGUCGGAUUAGCUAGUUGGCGGGGUAAAGGCCCACCAAGGCGACGAUCCGUAGCUGGUCUGAGAGGAUGAUCGGCCACACGGGAACGGAGACACGGUCCAGACGCCUACGGGAGGCAGCAGUGGGGAAUAUUGGACAAUGGGCGCAAGCCUGAUCCAGCCAUACCGCGUGGGUGAAGAAGGCCUUCGGGUUGUAAAGCCCUUUUGUUGGGAAAGAAAAGCAGCAGGUUAAUACCCCGCUGUUCUGACGGUACCCAAAGAAUAAGCACCGGCUAACUUCGUG
This 492-nucleotide ribosomal RNA is filed under the name uncultured bacterium. RNAcentral's name for it is "partial 16S ribosomal RNA". It matches the Rfam family "Bacterial small subunit ribosomal RNA", at positions 29 to 507 of the family's 1533-position model. The record is from RNAcentral.